Long non-coding RNA from Scophthalmus maximus (turbot), 2016 nucleotides. RefSeq lists it as uncharacterized. The transcript has 3 exons. Lineage: Eukaryota; Metazoa; Chordata; Actinopteri; Pleuronectiformes; Scophthalmidae. The record is from RefSeq and is a predicted model, not a curated record.
CAGACAGACAGACAGGCAGACAGAGAGACAGAGAGACAGACAGACAGGCAGACAGACAGACAGACAGACACAACGCCACGGUGACGCACAUUCAUCACACAAUUUGAUCAGAAACUUGAUUCUUUCAAAUUUAGUCUCAAUAACCAACGAAUAUAGUUUGUCAAUAUUUCCUUAUGUUCAUAUUGUUAUGACGUGUUUAUCUGUCGACGAUUAGAAUCAUGUGACCUCAGGUGACACAGACUGAUCGUGUCAGUGACGGACGAUGGAUCCAGGAAGUUCGUCACAAACUGGUUUUCAAUGUCAAGCGACCAGUUGCUUCUGUCCGACUGCAGCUGAUGGAUCAACAUGCAGGACGGGCAGCGGGUUGACUGAGCGCUGAUCGAUGCUCUUGAUCAGCUGGAGGAAGAACAGCUGAUCGAUGCUCCUGAUCAGCUGGAGGAAGAACAGCUGAUCGAUGCUCCUGAUCAGCUGGAGGAAGAACAGCUGAUCGAUGCUCCUGAUCAGCUGGAGGAAGAACAGCUGAUCGAUGCUCCUGAUCAGCUGGAGGAAGAACAGCUGAUCGAUGCUCCUGAUCAGCUGGAGGAAGAACAGCUGAUCGAUGCUCCUGAUCAGCUGGAGGAGCAGCAGUCGUCUGCAGUGACAUCACUGCUUAGGUCACCAAUGACCAUGAAUACAGGAAGUGAUUGGGCUCCUCCCCCUUUCGUUCCUGGGACACAUGGUGUUUCAGAGUUUGGACGCUGGCGGCUGCUGAUUGGUCGGCGCUGCAGUGAUCGGCACGGGUCGACCCCAGAGCCGCAGCCGGCUGACGCCUCCAUCCGGGGCGAUGAUGAGGCGAACGUGGCUGACGGCCCGGGGCGGCGCCAGCACGGCCUCGCCGUAGAGAUGCCUGUGAUGAGGGCGGAGCUGCACCGGAGACAGAGAGUGUGGAAAUCUGAUGAUGUCACGAAGAGAAAUGACAUCACAGGCGCUGGGACACCUACUUUCUGAGGGGGGAGGAGCAUCUGCCACGUCCCAGACCUCCACCUGGUCCCGACGCACCGGACCUCGUCCUCAGGGGUCAGAGUGCACGCCUCCACCCUGCAGGAGUCCGGGAAGUUACCUGGACGAACAGACAGUGGUCAAAGUUCACGGUCGGUGGGACCUGAUCAAAACAAAAAGCAGCCGAGACGUCUCUGCACCUUUGAAGUGGUUGGUGUCGACCUCGACGCUGCUGACGACUCCGGGACGGCCGAGGCGGAACACGGCCCACUCCUCGCCGGGGACCUGCAGGAUCCCCCGCUGGUCCACCUGCAAGACGAGCAGCAGGGACACAUUCAAACUGCAAACUUUAUUUACAAUCAGACGGCGUCUCAGGAAGCUGACGACGGGUUGAGAUCGAACCUUCAGCUCUUUGGGUCUGUCCAGCCGGCGAGCCGUCUCCCAUCCGUCGGCCAUGUUGGCAGCUCGACCGAGGCCUGAAAUCACAUGACACCGCUGACACGCCCAGUCUGACGGGAGCUGUCACUCACUGUGUUUCCAAUGACAACACCAAUAAAGAUUUUUGUAAAAAGCUCAUGUCCAACCAAUCAUGUUGCGUGGGUGGCCAAAGUGGGCGUCACUGUAGCCAAGGCAGACUCCCCCAUUGGUCAGAGCCACCAGGUCCACAUCCUGGUGGGUGGAGUCAGACGACCAGUCUCUCUGCCCGACGCCAUAAACCCGCAGUCUGGAUAUCCCUCCAUCUGGGGACGCACACGUCCUGUCAAACGCGCGUGCGUGCGUGCGUGCGUGCGUGCGUGCGUGUGUGUGUGUGUGUACCUGGAUGCAUGUUGAGGCGCAGAUGUGUGACUCUGUGGUUGAAGUCGACCUUGAAGUAGUUAUGGCAACAGUCCGUGUAUCCAGGCUUCAGCUCGGACACACCCACCAGCUCCGGCCACGCCUCCGAGCCCAGCUGUCAAUCAGGCCACACGUCAACAUGUCAUGUCAAUCAGUCAUAUUGUCAUGGUGAGCUGGUUGUGUGUUUGUGUAUAUAUAUAUAUA